GUAAGAGUGGUGUAGUGAUUUGAGCUCUAGACUACUACUCUAGAGACCAGAGUCCAAAUCCCUGCUUGGUCA
This is a non-coding RNA of Phrynosoma platyrhinos (Desert horned lizard), 72 nucleotides long. Lineage: Eukaryota; Metazoa; Chordata; Lepidosauria; Squamata; Phrynosomatidae. The record is from the annotation of a GenBank genome assembly.